GAGUUUGAUCAUGGCUCAGAGCGAACGCUGGCGGCAUGCUUAACACAUGCAAGCCGCACGGGCACUUCGGUGUCAGUGGCGGACGGGUGAGUAACGCGUAGGUAUCUAUCCUUGGGUGGGGGACAACUGUGGGAAACUACAGCUAAUACCGCAUGAUAACUGAGGUUUAAAGGCGCAAGUCGCCUGGGGAGGAGCCUGCGUACGAUUAGCUAGUUGGUGGGGUAAAGGCCUACCAAGGCGACGAUCGUUAGCUGGUCUGAGAGGAUGAUCAGCCACAUUGGGACUGAGACACGGCCCAAACUCCUACGGGAGGCAGCAGUGGGGAAUAUUGGACAAUGGGCGCAAGCCUGAUCCAGCAAUGCCGCGUGUGUGAAGAAGGUCUUCGGAUUGUAAAGCACUUUCGACGGGGACGAUGAUGACGGUACCCGUAGAAGAAGCCCCGGCUAACUUCGUGCCAGCAGCCGCGGUAAUACG
RNAcentral lists this ribosomal RNA (474 nucleotides) under uncultured eubacterium WR1109. Its description in RNAcentral is "bacterial SSU rRNA". It matches the Rfam family "Bacterial small subunit ribosomal RNA", at positions 9 to 527 of the family's 1533-position model. The record is from RNAcentral.